This 1423-nucleotide long non-coding RNA is filed under the name Salvator merianae (Argentine black and white tegu). RNAcentral describes it as "lncRNA (ENSSMRG00000005101.1)". The record is from RNAcentral. Lineage: Eukaryota; Metazoa; Chordata; Lepidosauria; Squamata; Teiidae.
GGCUAUGGGAACCCAGAUGUUUGGAAAACAAAAGGAUGACGAGGAUACAUCAUUACAGCUUCUUUGUCAUCUCUCCAAGCGAACUUAUAACAACACAGUGAAUGAUUUAUUUAUAAGAGUCAGUAAUUAAAGGAUUUACUUCUGGAACUUUUUGCUGAAGUUCUUUAUCUGUGGUGGGACAAACACUUGAGACCAAUGGAGAGCAAAAGGAGAGCACACCUAUCUGUUCCUUCUUCCACACAUAUGGACUUUGCACUCUUAUAUCUACGUUGGGUGAGAGAAGUAUGCUUCGGGUUGUUUUCUCUACACCAUGACUCAGGAAACAGGAGAAGUCAUUUGAGUGAAAAUAAAAAAGAUGAGAAGGGACCAACAAAGCUGGCUUUCCAGAAGAAAGAAAGUUACAGUCAGGAAAGAUGAAAAUCGAUAUGAACCUUCAUGCAGCUUUUUUAAUCAUCAUCAUCAUCAUCAUCAUCAUCACAGAAUAAUGCAGAAACACCCUGAGAAACUGUCACAAACUUGGAAUGGGAUUUUCUGCUCUUACUAGCUGUGGCCAACCUGUUGUUUAGUACUGAAGGUUUACAAAAUAGACUUGGAUGUUUUGAUACUUGACAGAACAAUGGCUGUUUCAAGUGUUUGAUGACUUUGUGUUGGGAUGUUCUGACCUGGGAAAAGAGACAAGAUGAAAUGGUACAGGAGGAGGGAUGAAGUAGAUGCAGUCUAGGAGAGCAGGACUAAAAAUCAAAGUCCUCUCUGCCUUCCUUGCUUUCUUCCGAAUCAUACCACUGGUCUAUCUAGUACAUAGAUUUUACUCUAGCAGGCAGCUGUAAAGCCUGUAUUCAUACUGAAUAAGGGUGACAAGCGGGGACUGUGGGAAGCAAAUCCAAGGGCCUGAGGCUGCCAAAACCAUCUGGAUAUUCUGUUCUCAACAGUAGGUUUGCAAAACACUGUUCUGAAUUACUCAGAAGAGCCGUGCAUACUCCAAAUAAGUACCAGUGUUUAGGUACACUAGAAGCAAGGAAAAGCCCUUGCCUAGGCACAGUUGCUCUUAGACUCUUCAAAUUUAUCCAGUUCUGAGGAGAGCACUGCACUGUGUAAUGAUGUCAUCACAUGAUGCCAUGCAAGUUGGGGCUUCCUCUGGCACAUGCAGCACCUGGCCCUUAGGCCUGGAGAAGACCAAAGAGCCUAAAAGAGGAGCAGAUAUAUUCUUAGGAAACUGAGAAAGCUACACUGGCAUGCCUAGACACCAGCCCCUUUGUGGGGUGAGUGCAGCUGUUCUAAAUAUUUUGGAGCAGUGUUUGUGCACAAAAAUUAAGUUCCACUGAAGAGUGUUUGCGACUGGAACUGCAUCAAGACAUAUUGUCCAAAGCUCUGUGUAUGUUACAUAUUUCACUUAUUUGUCUUAUUUGUUUAUGAGUUGAUGUAG